CUCUCUCACACACACACACUUUGCUUUGCCUGUGAAUGAGCAUGUUUUACAGGCUUCUCUAGCACACAUGGACUUAUUCAGCUGCCGUGACUUCAGAGAGUGACUGCGCCAUCUCCCUUGCUCUGCUCUCUCAGGCUGUCAUUUCCCCCAUCUCUCCUUUAAAGAUGUAAAAGGGAAGAGAAGGCUGCUGAGGCACAGGCUCCUUUUCACUCUGUUUUGCCCCCACCUUUCAACCCAGCCAUCCGCCCACACUCGCAGCCCUUCUCUGCAUUAUCUUCUCUUGGCCAGAUGGAAAGGAGUCUGCAGGAGAGGCAGUUUAUAGAAUAAACAGGAAAACUGGGACACAAGGCUCAAUGCCCUCCAAGGGUCCCUGAGAAUCUAUGACAGCUGAUGGACAUGACCCAACUAAGCCACCACUGGGCACGUCAGGAAGGCUAUGGCAAAGGGACCCUAAUAUCAACGCUAAAUGAACGAUAGAGAGGAUAAGCGCCUUUAACUCGCCUAGCAAAUAUGGAGCGGCAUCCAGAUAAAUAAAACCAACAGAACCCAAGGCACGUAACCGCGACUUCAGAGAGACAGGAAGACAAUUUCUCCUUAAGAAAAAGAAAAAACCUGUGUGUGCCUGACUAAGGAGUUGAGCGUUUUCUGUCCUUCAGUGCCGGUCAAGUGUGUUGUCUGUCACAGACACCAACAAGCCAUUUCACUUGGGACUUGGUUAAACUGCCACAGGCUUUUGAAAUUCCUGAAUACACUGCCUGGCAGAUUAUGUCUUUCUGUACUGAAGAAAACAAACAAACAAACAAACAAAUAAACAUGUGAUUAAUAAACCACAUCUUCCUUGUUGAUUAACUGUAGAAGAAUUUUAAUCCAGAAACAUGGCUGCUGUGGUGAGGGAUAACUUCUGUAGACCUGUCUAUGGGAUCCAGCAGGAAUGCAGGCACACCACACACCUUUAAUCCCUCUGGCUGAAAUACACACCCUUAACACACACCUCUAAUCCCAAACAGUGAAAGUAAAGUUAGUUUGUAGAAGGAAGCACCAAUGUUUGAAAGUGAUGUCUAGUUGAGAGGCAGACAAAGUGACUACUCAGAGAAAGAGGUGACAGAGUAGAAGAUGCCAACUCUCACUAGAACAGGGAGGAAUGGAGGUGACUUAAGAGAGCAGCACAGAGGGAGAGAGAGAAGAGGCGAUUUUACCAGGAGCAUUUUACAGAAACAGGUUAAAGAGAGAACAAGUCAGACACAGCAGAAGACAGAAUGAGCCAGAGAAUGAGAAGGAGCCAGAAGAUUAGAGCAUGUUGCCAAAGUUAGUAUGCCAAAGCUAUUCAGUCAGAGGUGAGAGAAGCCAGUUUGAAUCAGUCACCUGGCAGUGGGGUUUGAGCCAGAACAGCUGAAUUGAACUAGCCAGCCAGAGUUCAGAAAGCUAGAAAGGGUGAGUUUAUUCAGCAGUAAGUCUCAAA
Molecule: long non-coding RNA, 1459 nt
Organism: Meriones unguiculatus (Mongolian gerbil)
Lineage: Eukaryota; Metazoa; Chordata; Mammalia; Rodentia; Muridae
Exons: 3
Source: RefSeq, a predicted model, not a curated record